Molecule: ribosomal RNA, 406 nt
Filed under: uncultured bacterium
Lineage: Bacteria
Description: partial 16S ribosomal RNA
Rfam family: Bacterial small subunit ribosomal RNA
Source: RNAcentral
AUUGAACGCUGGCGGCAGGCCUAACACAUGCAAGUCGCACGAGUGGCUGACGGGUGAGUAAUGUCUGGGAAACUGCCUGAUGGAGGGGGAUAACUCCUGGAAACGGUAGCUAAUAACGCAUACCAUCAGAUUUGACAAGAUGGGAUUAGCUUGGUGGUGGGGUAAAGGCGCACAAAGGCGACGAUCCCUAGCUGGUCUGAGAGGAUGACCAGCCACACUGGAAAGGAGACACGGUCCAGACUCCUACGGGAGGCAGCAGUGGGGAAUAUGGCACAAGGGGCGCAAGCCUGAUGCAGCCAUGCGGGGUGUAUGAAGAAGGCGUUCGGGUUGGAAAGUACGUGCAGCGGGGAGGCGUUACCCGCAGAAGAAGCACCGGCUAACUCCGUGCCAGCAGCCGCGGUAAUUC